This is a long non-coding RNA of Sesamum indicum (sesame), 949 nucleotides long. RefSeq lists it as uncharacterized. The record is from RefSeq and is a predicted model, not a curated record. NCBI's taxonomy places the organism in Eukaryota, Viridiplantae, Streptophyta, Magnoliopsida, Lamiales, Pedaliaceae.
AUCAAGUGUAUACAAAAGGCUAGAUCUUUGAUGUACAUGUAUCUAUCCUAACCACCCAAGAACCCAUGUUUUUCCCAUCUCUUUGGAAAAGAUUUUCGACCAUCUUACUCUCUUUCUCUCAACCAAAAAUACCUCUCCAAGAACCCUAGUUCUCUUCUUCAUCUUGGAUCAAAGAAAGAACAAGAAAAAUCAAUCCGUUAAUUCAAUAACAUAUUGUUGAUUUUUCACUCUUUUCUUUCCCAUUCUUGCUAGCAUGGGGAGGAGACAAUCUCCAGAGGUGGUGUGGAUGGUUUAGAGGGUCUCUUCAUUGAGAUCUAACCAUGGAGCGGAUCAAAGACUUGGAACAAUGCAAGAAGCCGAUCAAAGAAAAACUACGAGGAAUUUGCAGAAAACAAACAAAGGAAUUUUUCCAGAAUACAGACAGCAGCACCGGCGCACGCACGCGCCCUAUGCGCCAUUGUGCGGCAGGCUGGCCUUCCUUCUUUGGAAGAAUAAUGCUUGCUUUCUCCUUCCCUUUGUACUCCCCCAAAUUGCUGAUUGGCGCUUUUUAAUUUUUUAUGAUGUAAUGAGAGUAGAUAGGAGGUGAAGAAUUUUUUAUUUUUUGUAAAUAAAAUUUAAGGAAGGCAAGCCCAAGGCAAUGGAGGCCCAUGAAGGAGGUUAUUGGAUGGCCACAGAGGAUCCAUGGAGAAGAGGUCCAGUGGAGCCCACGAUGAAGAGCCUAAGAGAAUAAAGAGGAGACUUACAAGGACCACAAAAAUGUUAAUGGGUUAUAAAACUUGUAAUAACAUAAGCCUAAUCCAGACUAACCAUAGACCCACUGUAGGCUCAGUGGAUCGCAUAGGUUAUUAGGUUCUGUGAUCAUCCAAAAGGGACAUGCUAGGCUAUUUUGCAUACGAUGCAUUUUUUAUACUUUUCAUAUUUAAUAUAUUAUGCAUGCAAAAUAUAAAGA